GCAGUGGUGGUUCAGUGGUAGAAUUCUUGUCCUCUGUGCCAGAGAGACCUGAGCUUGAUUCCCAGCCAGUGCA
Molecule: transfer RNA, 73 nt
Filed under: Loxodonta africana (African savanna elephant)
Lineage: Eukaryota; Metazoa; Chordata; Mammalia; Proboscidea; Elephantidae
Rfam family: tRNA
About the family: Transfer RNA (tRNA) molecules are approximately 80 nucleotides in length.
Source: Rfam by way of RNAcentral